GAUGAACGCUGGCGGCGUGCCUAAUACAUGCAAGUCGAGCGAACGGACGAGAAGCUUGCUUCUCUGAUGUUAGCGGCGGACGGGUGAGUAACACGUGGAUAACCUACCUAUAAGACUGGGAUAACUUCGGGAAACCGGAGCUAAUACCGGAUAAUAUUUUGAACCGCAUGGUUCAAAAGUGAAAGACGGUCUUGCUGUCACUUAUAGAUGGAUCCGCGCUGCAUUAGCUAGUUGGUAAGGUAACGGCUUACCAAGGCAACGAUGCAUAGCCGACCUGAGAGGGUGAUCGGCCACACUGGAACUGAGACACGGUCCAGACUCCUACGGGAGGCAGCAGUAGGGAAUCUUCCGCAAUGGGCGAAAGCCUGACGGAGCAACGCCGCGUGAGUGAUGAAGGUCUUUGGAUCGUAAAACUCUGUUAUUAGGGAAGAACAUAUGUGUAAGUAACUGUGCACAUCUUGACGGUACCUAAUCAGAAAGCCACGGCUAACUACGUGCCAGCAGCCGCGGUAAUACGUAGGUGGCAAGCGUUAUCCGGAAUUAUUGGGCGUAAAGCGCGCGUAGGCGGUUUUUUAAGUCUGAUGUGAAAGCCCACGGCUCAACCGUGGAGGGUCAUUGGAAACUGGAAAACUUGAGUGCAGAAGAGGAAAGUGGAAUUCCAUGUGUAGCGGUGAAAUGCGCAGAGAUAUGGAGGAACACCAGUGGCGAAGGCGACUUUCUGGUCUGUAACUGACGCUGAUGUGCGAAAGCGUGGGGAUCAAACAGGAUUAGAUACCCUGGUAGUCCACGCCGUAAACGAUGAGUGCUAAGUGUUAGGGGGUUUCCGCCCCUUAGUGCUGCAGCUAACGCAUUAAGCACUCCGCCUGGGGAGUACGACCGCAAGGUUGAAACUCAAAGGAAUUGACGGGGACCCGCACAAGCGGUGGAGCAUGUGGUUUAAUUCGAAGCAACGCGAAGAACCUUACCAAAUCUUGACAUCCUUUGACAACUCUAGAGAUAGAGCCUUCCCCUUCGGGGGACAAAGUGACAGGUGGUGCAUGGUUGUCGUCAGCUCGUGUCGUGAGAUGUUGGGUUAAGUCCCGCAACGAGCGCAACCCUUAAGCUUAGUUGCCAUCAUUAAGUUGGGCACUCUAAGUUGACUGCCGGUGACAAACCGGAGGAAGGUGGGGAUGACGUCAAAUCAUCAUGCCCCUUAUGAUUUGGGCUACACACGUGCUACAAUGGACAAUACAAAGGGCAGCGAAACCGCGAGGUCAAGCAAAUCCCAUAAAGUUGUUCUCAGUUCGGAUUGUAGUCUGCAACUCGACUACAUGAAGCUGGAAUCGCUAGUAAUCGUAGAUCAGCAUGCUACGGUGAAUACGUUCCCGGGUCU
RNAcentral lists this ribosomal RNA (1372 nucleotides) under uncultured bacterium. RNAcentral describes it as "bacterial SSU rRNA". It matches the Rfam family "Bacterial small subunit ribosomal RNA", at positions 28 to 1381 of the family's 1533-position model. The record is from RNAcentral.